GACCAUGACUCAGUGGUGGAGCAUAUGCUUUGCAUGCAGAAGUUCCUAGGUUCAAGCCCCAGCAUCUCCA
Non-coding RNA from Podarcis lilfordi (Lilford's wall lizard), 70 nucleotides. NCBI's taxonomy places the organism in Eukaryota, Metazoa, Chordata, Lepidosauria, Squamata, Lacertidae. The record is from the annotation of a GenBank genome assembly.